AUGCUAGCUUUCUGCAUCUGCCUAUGCUGGCUUUCUGCAUCUGCCUAUGCUGGCUUUCUGCAUCUGCCUAUGCUGGCUUUCUGCAUCUGCCUAUGCUGGCUUUCUGCAUCUGCCUAUGCUGGCUUUCUGCAUCUGCCUAUGCUGGCUUUCUGCAUCUGCCUAUGCUGGCUUUCUGCAUCUGCCUAUGCUGGCUUUCUGCAUCUGCCUAUGCUGGCUUUCUGCAUCUGCCUAUGCUGGCUUUCUGCAUCUGCCUAUGCUGGCUUUCUGCAUCUGCCUAUGCUGGCUUUCUGCAUCUGCCUAUGCUGGCUUUCUGCAUCUGCCUAUGCUGGCUUUCUGCAUCUGCCUAUGCUGGCUUUCUGCAUCUGCCUAUGCUGGCUUUCUGCAUCUGCCUAUGCUGGCUUUCUGCAUCUGCCUAUGUUGGCUUUCUGCAUCUGCCUAUGUUGGCUUUCUGCAUCUGCCUAUGUUGGCUUUCUGCAUCUGCCUAUGUUGGCUUUCUGCAUCUGCCUAUGUUGGCUUUCUGCAUCUGCCUAUGUUGGCUUUCUGCAUCUGCCUAUGUUGGCUUUCUGCAUCUGCCUAUGUUGGCUUUCUGCAUCUGCCUAUGUUGGCUUUCUGCAUCUGCCUAUGUUGGCUUUCUGCAUCUGCCUAUGUUGGCUUUCUGCAUCUGCCUAUGCUGGCUUUCUGCAUCUGCCUAUGCUGGCUUUCUGCAUCUGCCUAUGCUGGCUUUCUGCAUCUGCCUAUGCUGGCUUUCUGCAUCUGCCUAUGUUGGCUUUCUGCAUCUGCCUAUGUUGGCUUUCUGCAUCUGCCUAUGCUGGCUUUCUGCAUCUGCCUAUGCUGGCUUUCUGCAUCUGCCUAUGCUGGCUUUCUGCAUCUGCCUAUGCUGGCUUUCUGCAUCUGCCUAUGCUGGCUUUCUGCAUCUGCCUAUGUUGGCUUUCUGCAUCUGCCUAUGCUGGCUUUCUGCAUCUGCCUAUGCUAGCUUUCUGCAUCUGCCUAUGUUGGCUUUCUGCAUCUGCCUAUGCUGGCUUUCUGCAUCUGCCUAUGCUGGCUUUCUGCAUCUGCGAUCGAAGGUGCCUUAGUUACAGUGUUAUUUGGAGUUACAGUGGUGUUUGUCAGACCAUGAGACAUCCCGAAAAUUGGUCUUCUUACGAAACAUCUGUAGCGUCCAAACGGUUUGGCCUACAAAACUAUUAUGACCCCUCUAUGGAAAGGGAGACUCUCACAAACACGAUGGUGUUCUCUGUUUUGCUACGACAACCACACGUGUCACAGGACCCUUACGAAUGUGUGGAAGUAUGGAGGUAG
RNAcentral lists this long non-coding RNA (1299 nucleotides) under Oncorhynchus kisutch (coho salmon). RNAcentral's name for it is "lncRNA (ENSOKIG00005034077.1)". The record is from RNAcentral. Lineage: Eukaryota; Metazoa; Chordata; Actinopteri; Salmoniformes; Salmonidae.